GACGGAGGGUGCAAGCGUUGUUCGGAAUCAUUGGGCGUAAAGCGCGCGCAGGCGGCCCUUUCAAGUCUGGUGUGAAAGCCCGAGGCUCAACCUCGGAGGUGCACUGGAAACUGGAGGGCUUGAGUUCGACAGGGGCCAGUGGAAUUCGUGGUGUAGGGGUGAAAUCCGUAGAGAUCACGAGGAACACCGGUGGCGAAGGCGACUGGCUGGAUCGGAACUGACGCUGAGGCGCGAAAGCGUGGGGAGCAAACAGG
This 254-nucleotide unclassified non-coding RNA is filed under the name uncultured Bradymonadales bacterium. Its description in RNAcentral is "contains 16S-23S intergenic spacer region". It matches the Rfam family "Bacterial small subunit ribosomal RNA", at positions 524 to 776 of the family's 1533-position model. The record is from RNAcentral. Lineage: Bacteria; Deltaproteobacteria; Bradymonadales.